Molecule: ribosomal RNA, 550 nt
Filed under: uncultured bacterium
Lineage: Bacteria
Description: bacterial SSU rRNA
Rfam family: Bacterial small subunit ribosomal RNA
Source: RNAcentral
GCAAGGGGAGUGGCAGACGGGUGAGGAACACGUGGGAACGUACCCUUUGGUUCGGAACAACCCUGGGAAACUAGGGCUAAUACCGGAUACGAGCGAGAGCUGAAAGGUUUACCGCCGAAGGAUCGGCUCGCGUCUGAUUAGCUAGUUGGUGAGGUAAUGGCUCACCAAGGCGACGAUCAGUAGCUGGUCUGAGAGGAUGAUCAGCCACAUUGGGACUGAGACACGGCCCAAACUCCUACGGGAGGCAGCAGUGAGGAAUAUUGGACAAUGGGCGCAAGCCUGAUCCAGCCAUGCCGCGUGAGUGAUGACGGCCCUAGGGUUGUAAAGCUCUUUUACCCGGGAAGAUAAUGACGGUACCGGGAGAAUAAGCCCCGGCUAACUUCGUGCCAGCAGCCGCGGUAAUACGAAGGGGGCUAGCGUUGUUCGGAUUUACUGGGCGUAAAGCGCACGUAGGCGGACGCUUAAGUCAGGGGUGAAAUCCCGAGGCUCAACCUCGGAACUGCCUUUGAUACUGGGUGUCUUGAGUCCGGAAGAGGUGAGUGGAACUGCG